GGUUAAGCGACUAAGCGUACACGGUGGAUGCCCUGGCAGUCAGAGGCGAUGAAGGACGUGCUAAUCUGCGAUAAGCGUCGGUAAGGUGAUAUGAACCGUUAUAACCGGCGAUUUCCGAAUGGGGAAACCCAGUGUGAUUCGACACACUAUCAUUAACUGAAUCCAUAGGUUAAUGAGGCGAACCGGGGGAACUGAAACAUCUAAGUACCCCGAGGAAAAGAAAUCAACCGAGAUUCCCCCAGUAGCGGCGAGCGAACGGGGAGGAGCCCAGAGCCUGAAUCAGUGUGUGUGUUAGUGGAAGCGUCUGGAAAGGCGCGCGAUACAGGGUGACAGCCCCGUACACAAAAAUGCACAUAUUGUGAGCUCGAUGAGUAGGGCGGGACACGUGGUAUCCUGUCUGAAUAUGGGGGGACCAUCCUCCAAGGCUAAAUACUCCUGACUGACCGAUAGUGAACCAGUACCGUGAGGGAAAGGCGAAAAGAACCCCGGCGAGGGGAGUGAAAAAGAACCUGAAACCGUGUACGUACAAGCAGUGGGAGCACGCUUAGGCGUGUGACUGCGUACCUUUUGUAUAAUGGGUCAGCGACUUAUAUUCUGUAGCAAGGUUAACCGAAUAGGGGAGCCGAAGGGAAACCGAGUCUUAACUGGGCGUUAAGUUGCAGGGUAUAGACCCGAAACCCGGUGAUCUAGCCAUGGGCAGGUUGAAGGUUGGGUAACACUAACUGGAGGACCGAACCGACUAAUGUUGAAAAAUUAGCGGAUGACUUGUGGCUGGGGGUGAAAGGCCAAUCAAACCGGGAGAUAGCUGGUUCUCCCCGAAAGCUAUUUAGGUAGCGCCUCGUGAAUUCAUCUCCGGGGGUAGAGCACUGUUUCGGCAAGGGGGUCAUCCCGACUUACCAACCCGAUGCAAACUGCGAAUACCGGAGAAUGUUAUCACGGGAGACACACGGCGGGUGCUAACGUCCGUCGUGAAGAGGGAAACAACCCAGACCGCCAGCUAAGGUCCCAAAGUCAUGGUUAAGUGGGAAACGAUGUGGGAAGGCCCAGACAGCCAGGAUGUUGGCUUAGAAGCAGCCAUCAUUUAAAGAAAGCGUAAUAGCUCACUGGUCGAGUCGGCCUGCGCGGAAGAUGUAACGGGGCUAAACCAUGCACCGAAGCUGCGGCAGCGACGCUGAUGCGUUGUUGGGUAGGGGAGCGUUCUGUAAGCCUGCGAAGGUGUGCUGUGAGGCAUGCUGGAGGUAUCAGAAGUGCGAAUGCUGACAUAAGUAACGAUAAAGCGGGUGAAAAGCCCGCUCGCCGGAAGACCAAGGGUUCCUGUCCAACGUUAAUCGGGGCAGGGUGAGUCGACCCCUAAGGCGAGGCCGAAAGGCGUAGUCGAUGGGAAACAGGUUAAUAUUCCUGUACUUGGUGUUACUGCGAAGGGGGGACGGAGAAGGCUAUGUUGGCCGGGCGACGGUUGUCCCGGUUUAAGCGUGUAGGCUGGUUUUCCAGGCAAAUCCGGAAAAUCAAGGCUGAGGCGUGAUGACGAGGCACUACGGUGCUGAAGCAACAAAUGCCCUGCUUCCAGGAAAAGCCUCUAAGCAUCAGGUAACAUCAAAUCGUACCCCAAACCGACACAGGUGGUCAGGUAGAGAAUACCAAGGCGCUUGAGAGAACUCGGGUGAAGGAACUAGGCAAAAUGGUGCCGUAACUUCGGGAGAAGGCACGCUGAUAUGUAGGUGAAG
RNAcentral lists this ribosomal RNA (1724 nucleotides) under Escherichia coli. Its description in RNAcentral is "partial 23S ribosomal RNA". It matches the Rfam family "Bacterial large subunit ribosomal RNA", at positions 1 to 1767 of the family's 2925-position model. The record is from RNAcentral. Lineage: Bacteria; Pseudomonadati; Pseudomonadota; Gammaproteobacteria; Enterobacterales; Enterobacteriaceae.